RNAcentral lists this ribosomal RNA (425 nucleotides) under uncultured bacterium. RNAcentral describes it as "partial 16S ribosomal RNA". It matches the Rfam family "Bacterial small subunit ribosomal RNA", at positions 354 to 796 of the family's 1533-position model. The record is from RNAcentral.
GUGGGGAAUCUUGCGCAAUGGGCGAAAGCCUGACGCAGCCAUGCCGCGUGAAUGAUGAAGGUCUUAGGAUUGUAAAAUUCUUUCACCGGGGACGAUAAUGACGGUACCCGGAGAAGAAGCCCCGGCUAACUUCGUGCCAGCAGCCGCGGUAAUACGAAGGGGGCUAGCGUUGCUCGGAAUUACUGGGCGUAAAGGGCGCGUAGGCGGACAGUUUAGUCAGAGGUGAAAGCCCAGGGCUCAACCUUGGAAUUGCCUUUGAUACUGGCUGUCUUGAGUAUGGAAGAGGUAUGUGGAACUCCGAGUGUAGAGGUGAAAUUCGUAGAUAUUCGGAAGAACACCAGUGGCGAAGGCGACAUACUGGUCCAUUACUGACGCUGAGGCUCGAAAGCGUGGGGAGCAAACAGGAUUAGAAACCCUAGUAGUCC